CAUGCCUUUAUCAUGUCCG
RNAcentral lists this microRNA (19 nucleotides) under Ciona intestinalis (vase tunicate). RNAcentral describes it as "cin-miR-4066-3p". The record is from miRBase by way of RNAcentral. Lineage: Eukaryota; Metazoa; Chordata; Ascidiacea; Phlebobranchia; Cionidae.